RNAcentral lists this ribosomal RNA (326 nucleotides) under uncultured eukaryote. RNAcentral describes it as "partial 18S ribosomal RNA". It matches the Rfam family "Eukaryotic small subunit ribosomal RNA", at positions 1470 to 1796 of the family's 1831-position model. The record is from RNAcentral.
CCCUUAGAUGUUCUGGGCCGCACGCGCGCUACACUGAUGCAUUCAACGAGCCUAGCCUUGACCGAGAGGUCCGGGUAAUCUUUGAAACUGCACCGUGAUGGGGCUAGAUUAUUGCAAUUAUUAAUCUUCAACGAGGAAUGCCUAGUAAGCGUGAUUCAUCAAAUCGCGUUGAUUACGUCCCUGCCCUUUGUACACACCGCCCGUCGCUCCUACCGAUUGAGUGUGUUGGUGAGGAGUUUGGAUUGGCCUCGGAAGGUGGUUCGCCACCGUCCGUAGCUGAGAAGUUCUCCAAACCGCCCCACUUAGAGGAAGGAGAAGUCGUAACA